RNAcentral lists this transfer RNA (83 nucleotides) under Chloroflexota bacterium. RNAcentral describes it as "Chloroflexi bacterium tRNA-Leu". It matches the Rfam family "tRNA". Rfam says of the family: Transfer RNA (tRNA) molecules are approximately 80 nucleotides in length. Their secondary structure includes four short double-helical elements and three loops (D, anti-codon, and T loops). Further hydrogen bonds mediate the characteristic L-shaped molecular structure. tRNAs have two regions of fundamental functional importance: the anti-codon, which is responsible for specific mRNA codon recognition, and the 3' end, to which the tRNAs corresponding amino acid is attached (by aminoacyl-tRNA synthetases). tRNAs cope with the degeneracy of the genetic code in two manners: having more than one tRNA (with a specific anti-codon) for a particular amino acid; and 'wobble' base-pairing, i.e. permitting non-standard base-pairing at the 3rd anti-codon position. The record is from RNAcentral. Lineage: Bacteria; Bacillati; Chloroflexota.
GCCGAGGUGGCGAAAUGGCAGACGCGACGGACUUAAAAUUCGUUUCCCGCGAGGGAGUGUGGGUUCGAGUCCCUCCCUCGGCA